AGAAUCAACGCUGGCGGCGUGCCUAACACAUGCAAGUCGAACGAGAAAGUGGAGCAAUCCAUGAGUAAAGUGGCGACCGGGUGAGUAACACGUGACUAACCUACCUUCGAGUGGGGGAUAACCCCGGGAAACCGGGCUAAUACCGCAUAACAUCGCAAGAUCAAAGCAGCAAUGCGCUGGAAGAGGGGGUCGCGGCUGAUUAGCUAGUUGGCGGGUAACGCCCACAAGGCGAAGAUCGGUA
This 241-nucleotide ribosomal RNA is filed under the name uncultured bacterium. RNAcentral describes it as "partial small subunit ribosomal RNA". It matches the Rfam family "Bacterial small subunit ribosomal RNA", at positions 26 to 285 of the family's 1533-position model. The record is from RNAcentral.